Molecule: ribosomal RNA, 496 nt
Filed under: uncultured bacterium
Lineage: Bacteria
Description: partial 16S ribosomal RNA
Rfam family: Bacterial small subunit ribosomal RNA
Source: RNAcentral
GAUGAACGCUGGCGGCGUGCCUAAUACAUGCAAGUCGAGCGAACGGACGAGAAGCUUGCUUCUCUGAUGUUAGCGGCGGACGGGUGAGUAACACGUGGAUAACCUACCUAUAAGACUGGGAUAACUUCGGGAAACCGGAGCUAAUACCGGAUGAUAUUUUGAACCGCAUGGUUCAAAAGUGAAAGACGGUCUUGCUGUCACUUAUAGAUGGAUCCGCGCUGCAUUAGCUAGUUGGUAAGGUAAUGGCUUACCAAGGCAACGAUGCAUAGCCGACCUGAGAGGGGGAGCGCCCACAACGGAACUAGGACACGGGCCAGACCCCUAGGGGAGGCAGAAGAGGGGAAUCUUCCGAAAGGGGGGAAAGCCUGAGGGAGAAAGGCGGGGGGAGGGAGGAAGGUUUUCGGAGGGUAAAACCCUGUUAUGAGGGAAAAAAAAAUGUGAAAGGAACGGGGGACACUUUGAGGGUACCUAAUCAGAAAGCCACGGCAAACUACGG